CUAUUGAAUCUAUCACGUUGGAUCCCAGAGGAUAAGUCUUUAUUUCCAACAUGUGCAAUGUGGCCCUAUCAACCAGGAGAAUAUCUCAGGAGUCUCCCAAAGUUGUUAGCAUGAAAUGGAAACCAGUGGAGACUAAAUAAAGAACAAGAGGUGGGCCCUAAAUGCCACAAGAAACACUCGGAGGAGAUUUGACCAAAAAAAAAAAAAGAGAGAGAAAGAGGCAGUGUGACCAUGCCAGAGAGGCAGAGGUUGGAGCGACGCAGCCACAGACAAGGAUCGCCAGCAGCGGCCAGAA
Molecule: long non-coding RNA, 295 nt
Filed under: Homo sapiens (human)
Lineage: Eukaryota; Metazoa; Chordata; Mammalia; Primates; Hominidae
Description: HSALNT0037274
Source: RNAcentral